This 486-nucleotide ribosomal RNA is filed under the name uncultured Glomus. RNAcentral's name for it is "SSU rRNA". It matches the Rfam family "Eukaryotic small subunit ribosomal RNA", at positions 569 to 1060 of the family's 1831-position model. The record is from RNAcentral. Lineage: Eukaryota; Fungi; Glomeromycota; Glomeromycetes; Glomerales; Glomeraceae.
AGCAGCCGCGGUAAUUCCAGCUCCAAUAGCGUAUAUUAAAGUUGUUGCAGUUAAAAAGCUCGUAGUUGAAUUUCGGGAUCGAAUUGUUGGUCGUGCCUCGGUACGCACUGGCAUUAUCGGUUCCUACCUUCUGAAGAACCGCGAUGUCAUUAAUUUGGUGUCGUGGGGAAUCAGGACUGUUACUUUGAAAAAAUUAGAGUGUUUAAAGCAGGCUUACGCUUGAAUACAUUAGCAUGGAAUAAUGAAAUAGGACGUUUGAUUCUAUUUUGUUGGUUUCUAGGAUCGACGUAAUGAUUAAUAGGGAUAGUUGGGGGCAUUAGUAUUCAAUUGUCAGAGGUGAAAUUCUUGGAUUUAUUGAAGACUAACUACUGCGAAAGCAUUUGCCAAGGAUGUUUUCAUUAAUCAAGAACGAAAGUUAGGGGAUCGAAGACGAUCAGAUACCGUCGUAGUCUUAACCAUAAACUAUGCCGACUAGGGAUCGGAUGA